GGCGUGCUAUACUGCAAGUAGAACGCUGAGGAUUGGUGCUUGCACUAAUCCAAAGAGUUGCGAACGGGUGAGUAACGCGUAGGUAACCUACCUCAUAGCGGGGGAUAACUAUUGGAAACGAUAGCUAAUACCGCAUGACACUAGAGUACACAUGUACUUAAUUUAAAAGGAGCAAUUGCUUCACUAUGAGAUGGACCUGCGUUGUAUUAGCUAGUUGGUGAGGUAACGGCUCACCAAGGCGACGAUACAUAGCCGACCUGAGAGGGUGAUCGGCCACACUGGGACUGAGACACGGCCCAGACUCCUACGGGAGGCAGCAGUAGGGAAUCUUCGGCAAUGGACGGAAGUCUGACCGAGCAACGCCGCGUGAGUGAAGAAGGUUUUCGGAUCGUAAAGCUCUGUUGUUAGAGAAGAACGGUAAUGGGAGUGGAAAAUCCAUUACGUGACGGUAACUAACCAGAAAGGGACGGCUAACUACGUGCCAGCAGCCGCGGUAAUACGUAGGUCUCGAGCGUUGUCCGGAUUUAUUGGGCGUAAAGCGAGCGCAGGCGGUUCUAUAAGUCUGAAGUAAAAGGCAGUGGCUCAACCAUUGUAUGCUUUGGAAACUGUAGAACUUGAGUGCAGAAGGGGAGAGUGGAAUUCCGUGUGUAGCGGUGAAAUGCGUAGAUAUAUGGAGGAACACCGGUGGCGAAAGCGGCUCUCUGGUCUGUAACUGACGCUGAGGCUCGAAAGCGUGGAGAGCAAACAGGAUUAGAUACUCUGGUAGUCCACGCCGUAAACGAUGAGUGCUAUGUGUUAGGCCCUUUCCGGGGCUUAGUGCCGCAGCUAACGCAUUAAGCACUCCGCCUGGGGAGUACGACCGCAAGGUUGAAACUCAAAGGAAUUUGACGGGGGCCCGCACAAGCGGGUGGAGCAUGUGUUUUUAUUUCGAAGCAACGCGAAGAACUCUUUACCAGGUCUUGACAUCCCUCUGACCGUCCUAGAGAUAGGAUUUUUCCCUUCGGGGACAGAGGAGACAG
Molecule: ribosomal RNA, 1019 nt
Filed under: Streptococcus iniae
Lineage: Bacteria; Bacillati; Bacillota; Bacilli; Lactobacillales; Streptococcaceae
Description: bacterial SSU rRNA
Rfam family: Bacterial small subunit ribosomal RNA
Source: RNAcentral